CUUAGUAUUCAGGUAACUAUUGGUUGGCUUCCUUUGCUCUGACCACCAAAACUACUAAUUUUUGGUUGUAGUGUUUUCUCCAAAGCUGGAUUUUUUGGUUCACUAUUAUGCGAACAGUCGUGUUUAUUUUCGUUAUAAUUACUAAAGCUUAGUUCCUUUUCUGAAAAAAAAAAGUGAAAGGUAGAACAUACAACUAAUGCAAAAACAGGCACUUUAUUAUAAUCUCUUAGUAUUCAGGUAACUCUUGGAUCAUGCCAUAACAUCAAGAUCCACAUGAACAAUGGACGACCAUAAGAAUCACCAACAGCAAAGUGGUAAGAUAAACAGAUUCAAAGGUCAAAAGGUAACAAAAUAAAAAUCUCGGACAGUCGCGUCGCUUCAGUGCAUCUCCCACAAAAAUUUCUUGUAGCGGCAUCAGGUUAGGGUUUAGGGAGAUAAAAUAAGAGGUGGAAUCCGCAAUCACAGGGAUACUACUCUAUUUGAAUACAAUUCGAACAAGA
RNAcentral lists this long non-coding RNA (500 nucleotides) under Musa acuminata (dwarf banana). Its description in RNAcentral is "long non-coding RNA (MACU_LNC009481)". Lineage: Eukaryota; Viridiplantae; Streptophyta; Magnoliopsida; Zingiberales; Musaceae. The record is from RNAcentral.